This 497-nucleotide ribosomal RNA is filed under the name uncultured bacterium. RNAcentral's name for it is "partial 16S ribosomal RNA". It matches the Rfam family "Bacterial small subunit ribosomal RNA", at positions 28 to 507 of the family's 1533-position model. The record is from RNAcentral.
GAUGAACGCUGGCGGCGUGCCUAAUACAUGCAAGUCGAGCGAACAGACGAGGCGCUUGCUCCUCUGACGUUAGCGGCGGACGGGUGAGUAACACGUGGAUAACCUACCUAUAAGACUGGGAUCACUUCGGGAAACCGGAGCUAAUCCCGGAUAAUAUAUUGAACCGCAUGGUUCAAUAGUGAAAGACGGUUUUGCUGUCACUUCUCGCUGGUUCCGAGCCGCAUUAGCUAGUUGGUAAGGUCACGGCUUAUCAAGGCAACGAUGCGUAGCCGAACUGAGAGGGGGAUCGGCCACACGGGAACGGAGACACGGUCCAGACUACUACGGGAGGCAGCAGUAGGGAAUCGUACGCAAUGGGCGAAAGCCUGACGGAGCAACGCCGCGUGAGUGAUGAAGGUCUUCGGAUCGUAAAACUCUGUUAUUAGGGAAGAACAAAUGUGUAAGUAACUAUGCACGGCUUGACGGUACCUAAUCAGAAAGCCACGGCUAACUACGUG